RNAcentral lists this ribosomal RNA (294 nucleotides) under uncultured bacterium. Its description in RNAcentral is "partial 16S ribosomal RNA". The record is from RNAcentral.
GGACUACAGGGGUAUCUAAUCCUUUUUGCUCCCCACGCUUUCGUCUCUCAGUGUCAGGGUCGUCCUAGCUAACUGCCUUCGCUUUUGGUGUUCCCGACGAUAUCAACGGAUUUCACCCCUACUCCGUCGGUUCCGUUAGCCUCUAACGCCCUCUUAGUAUAGCAGUAUUGAAAGCAGCUCAAAGGUUAAGCCGAUGAGUUUUAACUUUCAACUUACUUUACCACCUACAGACUCUUUACGCCCAAUAAAUCCGAGUAACGCUCGGGGAUUCUGUAUUACCGCGGCGGCUGGCAC